UGGGAGCUCUCCCAUAUGGUCGACCUGCAGGCGGCCGCGAAUUCACUAGUGAUUAGAGUUUGAUCCUGGCUCAGAUUGAACGCUGGCGGCGUGCUUAACACAUGCAAGUCGAACGUGAAAGUCCUUCGGGGCGAGUAAAGUGGCGCACGGGUGAGUAACGCGUGGAUAAUCUACCCUUAAGAUGGGGAUAACGGCUGGAAACGGUCGCUAAUACCGAAUACGCUCCCGAUUUUAUCAUUGGGGGGAAAGAUGGCCUCUGCUUGCAAGCUAUCGCUUAAGGAUGAGUCCGCGUCCCAUUAGCUAGUUGGCGGGGUAACGGCCCACCAAGGCAACGAUGGGUAGCCGGUCUGAGAGGAUGACCGGCCACACUGGAACUGGAACACGGUCCAGACUCCUACGGGAGGCAGCAGUGGGGAAUAUUGCGCAAUGGGCGAAAGCCUGACGCAGCGACGCCGCGUGAGGGAUGAAGGUUCUCGGAUCGUAAACCUCUGUCAGGGGGGAAGAAACCCCCUCGUGUGAAUAAUGCGAGGGCUUGACGGUACCCCCAAAGGAAGCACCGGCUAACUCCGUGCCAGCAGCCGCGGUAAUACGGAGGGUGCAAGCGUUAAUCGGAAUCACUGGGCGUAAAGCGCACGUAGGCGGCUUGGUAAGUCAGGGGUGAAAUCCCACAGCCCAACUGUGGAACUGCCUUUGAUACUGCCAGGCUUGAGUACCGGAGAGGGUGGCGGAAUUCCAGGUGUAGGAGUGAAAUCCGUANAUAUCUGGAGGAACACCGGUGGCNAANGCGGCCNCCUGGACGGUAACUGACGCUGAGGUGCGAAAGCGUGGGUAGCAAAACAGGAAUUAGAUACCCUGNUAGUCCNNCGCUGUAAACGAUGGGUGCUGGGUGCUGGNNUGUA
This 899-nucleotide ribosomal RNA is filed under the name uncultured Bilophila sp. RNAcentral describes it as "bacterial SSU rRNA". It matches the Rfam family "Bacterial small subunit ribosomal RNA", at positions 1 to 832 of the family's 1533-position model. Lineage: Bacteria; Pseudomonadati; Thermodesulfobacteriota; Desulfovibrionia; Desulfovibrionales; Desulfovibrionaceae. The record is from RNAcentral.